RNAcentral lists this long non-coding RNA (833 nucleotides) under Anser brachyrhynchus (Pink-footed goose). RNAcentral's name for it is "lncRNA (ENSABRG00000005564.1)". Lineage: Eukaryota; Metazoa; Chordata; Aves; Anseriformes; Anatidae. The record is from RNAcentral.
CUUUUCUGCUCAGAGCUUCUCAGGUGACGAUAUUUGGGAGCCAACACGAGCAUAGGGGAACUGAACUAGAGAAGGAAUGUGAUGUGAGGUGUUUUAAAACUUGAUAAAAACUUUGUAAAAGGUGCUACUACAAAGAACAGCUCUUUCUUGUUCAUCCUAGGCUGCUGAGAAGACUUCAGUUGUAUGUGAGACAGUUCUCGGACCAGAACACAAUGCUUUACCAGAAAAGCAGCAAAAAGCUUGUUGGUGAAAUUUCCCUAUUACUUAAACAUUAUUACAGCUGUACUAGGUGAUGGAAGGAGAUGACUAAGCAGAUUUUCACCAUGAAUAAGUACUACACUUGCAUGCGUGUGUAUUACACCUGUAGAGUUAUUAUAAUGUUAAUGGGUGUUAAUCUUUAGGUGGGAAUUACUAGACUGGAAAAGAAGAAUUAUGUGACAAAAGUCCUUUGAAUAUUUACACUACUGAUGAGAAGGUAACAUGCAGUUACACAGGAACGUACACAUGUCAAUACCUUUUUGAUGGGAGAGAAAAAGAUCUUGUCUCAAGCUGACCAAGGAGUCAGCUUGCAAGACAGAAGAGAAAAGAAGAUUGUCCUUUCUCCAGAACAGACUGUGUGUGUGCUUUCAUUUUGUGAAUCAUCUAGGAAUAGGAAAAAGGAGCCACUAUAACAAUACUGAUGGUCUAAUGGAUCGAUGUGGGUACUUCAUUAGUCAUAUGCACAUGGAAUAUGGUGGUAAGGGUUUUUCUUUUUUUUGUUAGGUUAGACAACAAAGCAGUGCAGAGAAGCAUGUAUUUCACUCAGAAAAAUAGGUCAAAUAAAAUUAAUAAAC